AUAUGAUUCUUUGUGAACUCAUAGCAUCGUUGUCACUGUCAUCACAAUCAUCACUGCCAUCACCAUUGUCACCAUCAUCAUUACAGUCACCACUGUUGUCAAGAUGGUCACUGCCAUCACCAUCAUCACCAGAAUCAUCACCAUCAUCACCGCUAUUACUUUCAACACUACCAUUGUCACCACCAUCAUCACCAUCAUCAUCUCAAUCGUGACCAUCAUCACCAUCAUCAUCAUAUACUCUUGUAUUCCCAGUAACACCAAUCUGAGCACCUCAAACCACCUUCCACUGAGACUGAAUGGAAGUUGCAGGAGAAUGAGAACAGAUUGCACCGAGAAGUCCUUUAACUCUCUUCAGGAAACACCUCUAGUUCAAGCAUUUUACAAAAAAUAACCUUUAAAAACUAACCAGGUUUCCGCUGCGUGGUUGAGCCAGCCAUGAGGGUUGUGCUGGUUACAUCUGAAUUAGCCCUGCUUGACAAUCGCUCUCAAACUCGGUUCCUACUUCACGCCAGCAGUUCUGCUCCCUGGGUGUGUGAUCGUAUGGGGCAGACGCCUUCGAAGGAGCUAUCAGACCCAGAUUAAGAACGCAUCGUAUACAAUAAGCAAAUGAGAAGGCACGACAUUUUCCCAAAAUCACCCAGGCAGGAAAAUCAGCACGUCCUGCUCUUCAAUAGAGGGCCCAUCUCGCUCCCUGCUUUACGGGGAGCAGAAAUGUCUGGAAUCUAAAUCUGCCACAGGAGGGGUUUCUUUGCCUUCUCUCGAUGCUGUGAGCUGAAUGGCAGAUUUCAUCACCUCCAUUGUAAGGCACCUCUCAUUAUGAGAAACCAAACACAGAUCCUGGCUCCUAACUGGAGUAUUAAUAAUGAAAAUGGAUUAUGUGCAUCCUGUUUGCUAAGCAAUUAUCCCAAGGCAAGGAUUGAGUCCAGAUUUUUUGCCUCACUGCCUGAGUAGCAGAACAUGAAUAGAUAGACAGGUAUUUGCAUGCAGUGUCUCUGACCUGGAGAAAAUGUCAGGAGCUUGGGAGACGACCGGGAGAGCUGUAGAUGCAUAUUCUUUUGAAAUCUGGUUGGGAUUUUCAGUCUAUUCUUGGAAAAGGCAAAGAAAGGGGGAAAGACUCUGGAUUUGCUGUCACUGUUUAAAGAUAGCCUCCUGAGUCGAGGCGAGAGCAUUUUACUUUGCCCACCGUAAGUUUUUCAUUAACUGCGAGUGACUCCGGCUCCUACCUUCUCAAGGAGAUGAAAUGAGUUUUAUGUGGUUGAUGGCGAGUGGUGCUUUCCCUAGAUCUUUUAUAAAAUCUAGAUCUGAUCUUCUUAACCUAGGCACUUUUUAAUAAGAGUAGGCAUUUCUCUGAUGCCUUGGAUCUAAAUUUUCCUCUUCCCUUCAUUCGCUUGCUGGGCUCCUGCAAGGUGCCAGCUGACUUCCUCUCUCUGAUGCCCAUGUGCUAUUUUGGGGCUGUGCAUCUAGGCUAAAAUGAAUCUGUGCUCAGUGUAUGCAGUGCUUUGGGAUCCUUCAGAGAAACCACUGCCAACAGCUGUGUCGCCUCCCGUCUCUCCCUGCCCACCCUCCUGCUCCUUUAUGGUAUACUCACACAUCAAGAUGGCAGAUUGAGAGGCAGCAGUGAACAUUCCUAUGGACAAGCUUCAUUAUUCCCACAGGACCAGAGAGUCAUCUUAGAAGAUAGAGGGGAAUAUCAGGGGCAGGACAUCCCUGUGGCAGUCACUCAACCCCUAACAAUGACUUCACAAUAGAUUAAAAUUGCCUGGAAAAUGGAUAGACAUCUGUGGCACAUCCACACAGCGGAAUGCUACUCAGCAAUCAAGAUGAAUAAGGUGCUGAGGCACACAACUCCAGGAGUGAAUCUCUGACUCAUUAUUCAAAGUGAGGGCGGUCAGACAUAAAAAGCAAUGGUUUCUUGGAGUUGGGCAGAGAGAGAGGUUCACUGAAAAGUGUGACCAACAGUCCUGGUUUGCUUGAGACUGUCCCAGUGUUAGCUUAUAAUGUCUCCCUUUCUGGAAACACCUCAGUCCCAGGCAAACUGAGACAGCUGGUCCCCCUGGAACUGGACAGAGGGAUUUUUAGGAGGAUGGGACUGUGCUUUGCAAAUAUCCCAGAGCUAUACACUUAAAAGGUAAAUUUUACUCUCUGCAAAUCAUACCUCAGAAAAGACUGGAAAGGAUUGCCUAGUGUCUCAUCAGUCCUUCCAUUAGACAGUGCGUUCUCUGCAUGCAGGGAUUCCGUGUCCCGUAUCAUUGACCCCUAGCACUGACAUGGCAUGGCAUGGAAUAACUUGCUGAAAGAUUGCACCGUACUCCUGUUUCUCAGCUGCUACCUGUUGUGCUACCACCAAUAGAUUGUUUAAACUAUCCAGUGGUCUCGUAGCAUGGAAUUUUCUCCACAGAACUACAAAAAAUUAAGGUUUUAUCUCUUUCUUUUAGAUUGUGUUUUGAUAGCUAUGGUCUUGAAAUGAGACAACAAUAAUAAUCAGUGCUUUCCAAGUAUCCUGAGCAUAAUGAAUUCCUAGAAUACUUGUUAAAAGAAAAAUACAAGUUCCUGGAACCCUAUCUAGACCUGUCAGAUCUGAAUUUCCAGGGGAAGGGCCUGGGAAUCUGUAUAUUUAACAGGUGUCUCCAAAGAUCCUUGAGAUCUAUCAUGGAAAGCAGGAAGACAGAAAACCUGGGCUCAGAAAACCUCAGCACUAGCCUUCAGGUGUGGUCCUAUCCUGGCCGCCAUGUUGCCCAUGUGAUGCUUCUGCUAGAGUCUUUCUCCUGGUGCAUCAUUUGUUCAUUAAUUUUACUUGGGAAAUAUUUAUUGAGCACCUACUCUGCACUAGGGCUACAGCUGUGAAAGAGCAAACAAAUAAAUACACAAGAUAAGCUCA
Molecule: long non-coding RNA, 2878 nt
Organism: Vulpes vulpes (red fox)
Lineage: Eukaryota; Metazoa; Chordata; Mammalia; Carnivora; Canidae
Source: Ensembl